This is a long non-coding RNA of Callithrix jacchus (white-tufted-ear marmoset), 1678 nucleotides long. RefSeq lists it as uncharacterized. NCBI's taxonomy places the organism in Eukaryota, Metazoa, Chordata, Mammalia, Primates, Cebidae. The record is from RefSeq and is a predicted model, not a curated record.
UGUAACAGACCUGACCAGAAUGCAAUGCAUUGUGCUAUUAAGACCACUAUUCCAAUUAGCGGCAGAUACAGAACCUCAGCUCUCAAUGUGAAAAUCCACCAGAAAGAUGAAUAUUAACUAUGGGAGCAACGGCAGAAGGGAAAAACUCCUGUGCUAGUCUUUGGAUCGAUUUUCAGGAUAUGGAUACUAACUGCUCCAUUUUCUUAUUUGGACUUCUGGGUCUAUCUACUCUUUGUCUUCCGUGAUCUUCCUGGAUGCAUGUUGUGGUCUCCUGCUAAAUCAAAGCUGCAAAUUCUCCUGGCAUAAUUGAAAACACGUCUUGGUAACACCUUUAGGAUAUAUCUGAGGCAGAGAUAUCUAUCUUCAGUGAAGCAUUCCUAAGCAGAAGAAAGCAAGUGCCUGGGAAUAUUGUAUCAGGGAAUAUUCACAGUAAAGAAGUCAGAUAACUCAGAAGAUGAAAACUGUCAUGUAUCUCCUCUCCAAUAUGGUAACAGCUAAAAGUCAACUCUGGAUCAUCUGUAUAGUGGGUCAGUAAAGAGCAUAUAAAAUCAUAAAUUCAGACUGGUUUUUAUUUUGGUAUGGUCCCUGUACUUCCAUAUGAAUAAGAGAAUGAUUCACCCCCUUCGGAACUCACAGUACAUCAAACCAAAUUAGGAAGCCAGGCAGCUGUGACCUGGUUUUGUAAGGGCCAAGAAAACUACAGAGUUUCACUACUGAACCUUACAACUCAAAAUGAUUCCCUGGUUUACAUGUUCCAUUUGGGACACGGGUGUACCUUACUGACUCAUAUAAAAUGCCUCUCUGGGCUUGUAUUUUCUCUUACCUUACCCAGAGUUGUAUGUGAGUAAAUAAAGGCUUGAGUGAUCUCGAGGUGGCAGUUUAAAGGACGGUAAAAGAAAACAGGAGUUAGAAUAAACAAUGUCAGUAAAAACUUGGAUGCAAGACUGACCUUAUGCAAUCCCUAAGGUAAAUGCCCAAGAUUUAUUUUAUGUAACUACAGUAAAAAUAACCCUCAUGAAUUCAGUUCUAAUACUAACGCUCAUUUCAGGUACAUUGAAUUAUAGGAGACAGAGCACGCUAAACUGCUUGUUCUCAGUCUGCUCCAAUAAGUUUUAUUUUUUAUUGUUUUGGGGAUGCCUUUGGGAAGGAUAGGAGGAGUGGUGAUUCUUGAAAUUAGAGGUUGGGAUGAAAGUAGAAGGGACUUUUUUUUUAGUAGAAAGGGAUAUUGAGAACAGGUUAGAAAGAGGCUCUGGUUCUAUUAAUUUAGGAUCUGAUAAUAUUCCUCCAAAUCUGAAACACUCACAACUGACUCAAUAGCUAUGAUUUUUGGAAACUGGUUUAAUUUUCUGUGAAGCCAUUAGGAUAAAAAUUAUGAGAUAUAUUCUAUUUAUUUAUUUUCAUUGGCAAAUCAGCCUUGUUUCUUGAAGAAAAUGGAAACCUGUUUUUAUUAAAGAUUACUGAAGUAGUUUUCCUUGAAAAAAUAAAACCCUUCUGAAUAUCCAGAUGAUGGAUGUAUUAUGCUAUGAAAAUUUUAAUAUAGGGGAACAUCUCAUAAUGGAAACAGCUUAAUAAGCAGGGAAUUUCCAUGCACAAUUUCUGUAGAAACUCUAAUAUUGUUUUUAUUGCUUGUUUGGUGACAAUGUACUCUUGGCUUUUGUUCAGGAUAAAGCGUACAAAA